This 465-nucleotide ribosomal RNA is filed under the name uncultured bacterium. Its description in RNAcentral is "partial 16S ribosomal RNA". The stretch from base 20 to 328 matches the Rfam family "Bacterial small subunit ribosomal RNA", at positions 47 to 358 of the family's 1533-position model. The record is from RNAcentral.
GACGAACGCUGGCGGCGUGCUUAACACAUGCAAGUCGAACGGAAAGGCCCCCUUGUGGGGUACUCGAGUGGCGAACGGGUGAGUAACACGUGAGUAACCUACCCUUGACUUUGGGAUAACUUCAGGAAACUGGGGCUAAUACCGGAUAGGAGCUCCUGCUGCAUGGUGGGGGUUGGAAAGUUUCGGCGGUUGGGGAUGGACUCGCGGCUUAUCAGCUUGUUGGUGGGGUAGUGGCUCACCAAGGCUUUGACGGGUAGCCGGCCUGAGAGGGUGACCGGCCAGAUGGGGAAAGAGAAAGGGCCGAGACCCAGGGGGGAGGAGGAGGGGGGAAUAUUGGAAAAAGGGGGGAAGGCUGAAGGCAGAAAGGCGGGGGGGGGGAGGAGGGCCUUGGGGUGGAAACCCGUUUGCGCGGGGGAAAAAGGGGGAGGAGGGUAAAGGGGUAAAAAGAAAGGGGAAAGCUAGGUA